UUAGAAUCAUCCCGGCUUCCCGGCUACGCGGUAUUUUCUUAGAAUUUAGAGUAAUCGUCUGCUACCUUAUCUCUUGUCUGCUAUAACGAGUUAUGCCGAUUCUCGAUUCAUCUGAAUUUGCAGUUUAUUAAAAAACAAGUUUUAUAAAAGUUGAUUUGGCGCACGAAUUACUAGUUACUAAACGAGCCGUAGGUGCGCCAAAACCCCUAUAAAACGAGCAUUUUAUGCAAAUUUUUGUACUUUGUGCUCCCUUUUUUCUUAUUUUAAUAAAACAAAUUUUGUCGUCAAGGGAAUUUUGUGUCAGUUGGUAACGGUAAUAAAUAAUAAAUAGUUAAUAAAGAAGAAUUGAUGAUUAAAUCGAUUGUACGUGUAUUCCACGCAUUAUCGAUGAAACUCCUGUAAUCUAAAUAUAUUUAAAUUCAUUAAAGUACACUCUACGUUAAUUAAUAAACUAUUAUAUACGCAAAGUAUAAAACAAUUAUUAAGGCGAUUCUCAAGAACUGUAAAAUUAUAAAAAAUGUGUUUUUACUCUUAUUUUACUUUUAUACAUAUCUUAAACUCGACAACAAUUUUCUUCCGGAAACCAAUGUGGCGCCUCCAUCCGGCACUUCCUUCCAAUUAAAUUUUAAAAGCGGUAAUUUAUUCUAAAGGUGGUUUUUUGCUUGCUAUUGCUAGUAUUGGGUUUAAUUUUUGUAUGCAUAUUUACAAUGAUGUUGUGCAUGAAUGGUGUUUUUUUUCCGAUCUGUGCAGUAUCUUGCGAUUGGCACCCAAGUCUCAGAUCAGCAGACCGAAUAUUUACCGAAUGGUUAAUCGUGGCGAUUUGAUUUUUUGGAAAUUUGGAUUCCGCCGGUCAUUUUACCUUGAAAACUCUCGAUCCUAAAGAUAACUCAGAAAACUUAGUAAAUAAUAAAAAAAACUUUGGUUUAGACAAACUGUGACGAGAUUAAAUUUUUGAGGACAUUUUUCAAACGGUUAGUCACAGCGAUGAUUCAUGCAAAUUUAGAUUCUGAAGCUCAUUUUAUGUUAGAAACACUCAAUCCUAAGGAGAUAAAUCCAAAAACUUGGCAAAUUUAGAUAUUGAAGCUCAUUUUACGUUAGAAACACUCAAUCCUAAAGAAAAAACUAAGAAAACAAAUUGUAACGUUGUAAUGAAGCAUCCGGAUUCCGGACGAUUCUAUGGCGACGUAGGAGUCAUGCGCUCAAAUCAGUUCCACCACCACCGGCGCUCGGUUUGUUUACACCGUGUCGCCAAUAAAAGGGCGAAACCGAGCGUUCUCCAGCAGUUGCUCACUGUGCAUCAAACCGUAAAAGAUGGAAUCAACACCGCCGAGAAACCGCCACUCCGAGUCCAUCGAGACAAAAUUGGUGCGCCUGUUUGGACAAUCCCCGGAAAGCCCCUAUCUGGAGCUAUAUGCAUCCCCAUUACCAGGUCUCGUGUCGCCGCUCCCGCCAACACCGUCCCCAGUCCGCAGAAGGGAGAUUCAGGAGGCCCUUAUUAAGAAGCUGGGAACAAGCCCCAUAUUGGCAAGCCCGACAGCCUGGCUGGAAUCCCCGAAAACUCCGGUGCAGUUUUCCCCGGAACCGGAAAAACCCGUUACCCCUGGCAAAAGCAUCGCCCAGGAGGUUCUGGACGUUUUCCGGUCGAAGCCAAGGAUACUGCCGAAAAUUCCACCGGCGCCGGAACCGAUCAACCUGGCAGUCCCACUUUGGACUUUCCGGCCAGCGGGUAAUAUAGAGGGGCGAUGCCGAUUCAGAUUCCCGACAACCACCGGCGGCUUCCGAUGGGUCCUCCUGCCACCGAGACCGAAGACGGCGGACAAGGCGACGGGCGUAUCCGGCAUUACGUCAUGCCGUUUCUGAAGAAAGGGGGGGGUGUAAUGAAGCAUCCGGAUUCCGGACGAUUCUAUGGCGACGUAGGAGUCAUGCGCUCAAGUCAGUUCCACCACCACCGGCGCUCGGUUUGUUUACACCGUGUCGCCAAUAAAAGGGCGAAACCGAGCGUUCUCCAGCAGUUGCUCACUGUGCAUCAAACCGGUGAGUAACUCUGGGGGUCGAGCCGUGCAUCAAACCGGCAAAACCUUCUCCGACGAGUGGUGCUUGCUGCGCAUCAAACCAGCACACCAUCUCCACCGACCCGACCGACCUAGAGCUCCGACGAGUGGUGCUUGCUGCGCAUCAAACCAGCACACCAUCUCCACCGCCCAGACCGACCUGGGGCUUGGUAGGGAAAUUACGACCGAGGACAACCGUGUAAAUAGUGUAUAUAGUUAGGGAUAGUUAUUAUUAUUACUUUUAUUUAUCUUGGGGAUUUGUUAUUUUUAUUUGUACAGUUUGAUAGAAUAAAUAAUUGGUUUGAGUUAGAAA
Long non-coding RNA from Tribolium castaneum (red flour beetle), 2364 nucleotides. RefSeq lists it as uncharacterized. The transcript has 2 exons. NCBI's taxonomy places the organism in Eukaryota, Metazoa, Arthropoda, Insecta, Coleoptera, Tenebrionidae. The record is from RefSeq and is a predicted model, not a curated record.